UUGGAGGGCAAGUCUGGUGCCAGCAGCCGCGGUAAUUCCAGCUCCAAUAGCGUAUAUUAAAGUUGUUGCAGUUAAAAAGCUCGUAGUUGAAUUUCGGGGUCAGUAGAUUGGUCAUGCCACUGGUAUGUACUGGUCUCACUGAUUCCUCCUUCCUGAUGAGCCGUAAUGCCAUUAAUUUGGUGUUGCGAGGAAUCUGGACUGUUACUUUGAAAARAUUAGAGUGUUUAAAGCAGGCUAACGCUUGAAUACAUUAGCAUGGAAUAAUGAAAUAGGACGUUCGAUCUUAUUUUGUUGGUUUCUAAGAUUGACGUAAUGAUUAAUAGGGAUAGUUGGGGGCAUUAGUAUUCAAUUGUCAGAGGUGAAAUUCUUGGAUUUAUUGAAGACUAACUACUGCGAAAGCAUUUGCCAAGGAUGUUUUCAUUAAUCAAGAACGAAAGUUAGGGGAUCGAAGACGAUCAGAUACCGUCGUAGUCUUAACCAUAAACUAUGCCGACUAGGGAUCGGAUGAUGUUAAUUUUUUAAUGACUCAUUCGGCGCCUUACGGGAAAC
This 549-nucleotide ribosomal RNA is filed under the name uncultured Glomerales. RNAcentral's name for it is "SSU rRNA". It matches the Rfam family "Eukaryotic small subunit ribosomal RNA", at positions 550 to 1109 of the family's 1831-position model. Lineage: Eukaryota; Fungi; Glomeromycota; Glomeromycetes; Glomerales; Glomeraceae. The record is from RNAcentral.